Molecule: long non-coding RNA, 697 nt
Organism: Macrobrachium nipponense
Lineage: Eukaryota; Metazoa; Arthropoda; Malacostraca; Decapoda; Palaemonidae
Exons: 5
Source: RefSeq, a predicted model, not a curated record
CUCCUCACAAACCUGUAAUCUUAUCUACUAAAAUUUAUAACAUCAGCGUCACGAUAAUUUCGGAGAACUCCCAAAAUAAGGGAAAAGGAGAGGUUAGGUAAAAGCUGAGGAACUUAUAAUAAUUAGCUAUUUUCAUGGUUUUACACGAAACAGAAGAGUUCAGGUAAGAACCUAAGACCUUAAGCCAACACCUUAACAUAAAGUAAACCUUCAACUGGCCUUCAGACUGCACUCUUCUACAAAACUCUGUGGGUGCUAAUCUUACUAUAUACAUUGAAAUUUGUAACAUCAGCAUCUGGGAAACUUUUUAAACUUCUAAAAUAAAGGUAGUACUUCAUAAACAGUGCUUACAGUUCACGUUAUAGAGCAAAGGAAACUUACUUGAUUACAAACCAAGAGCAGCAUGUACUUCAAGUUACUAGAGGUGGGAUGUCGACAACAGGGAUACAAGAAGAAACAGGCAACGUUAGGUGUUUCUAAAGGAGAGAGAAGUUUAAAAGGAGCACCAUUGAACACUUGAGAGAGAAACAGAACACUAAGCAAGGAAAAUAAGCUGUUUUUGAAAGUGAGAGAACUAUAUGAACACAAGCUAUAUCUGACUGGGAGAGAAGUCUACAGGGGAUGUUACGGAAGAAAGAGAAUAGGUGAAGAAACACUAGUCUACAGGGGAUGUUACGGAAGAAAGAGAAUAGGUGAA